Non-coding RNA from Polaromonas sp. CG9_12, 328 nucleotides. It matches the Rfam family "Bacterial RNase P class A". Rfam says of the family: Ribonuclease P (RNase P) is a ubiquitous endoribonuclease, found in archaea, bacteria and eukarya as well as chloroplasts and mitochondria. Its best characterised activity is the generation of mature 5'-ends of tRNAs by cleaving the 5'-leader elements of precursor-tRNAs. Lineage: Bacteria; Pseudomonadati; Pseudomonadota; Betaproteobacteria; Burkholderiales; Comamonadaceae. The record is from Rfam.
GAAGCCUGCCAGACCGCCGCUGGUGCAAUUUCCGAAAGGAAGCACUGGAGGAACGUCCGGACUGCACAGGACAGCGUAGGAGGUAAUACCUCUCCACCGCGAGGUGAGGAUCAGAGCAACAGAGACGAGCCGGUUUAGUCCGGGUGAAACGGGCAAUCUCUACGCGCAGCAACACCAAAUAGGCCAGCGUUGACGUGGUUCCGCGGAGCUGGCGGGUAGGUGGCACCGAGCCGGGUGGGCGACCCCCGGCCCAGAUUAAUGGCGGUCACACCGGGCAACCGAAAGGAAGCCUGGCGCACAGAAUCCGGCUUAUCGGCGGGCUUCACAC